RNAcentral lists this ribosomal RNA (459 nucleotides) under uncultured bacterium. Its description in RNAcentral is "partial 16S ribosomal RNA". It matches the Rfam family "Bacterial small subunit ribosomal RNA", at positions 338 to 795 of the family's 1533-position model. The record is from RNAcentral.
CCUACGUGUGGCAGCAGUGAGGCAUAUUGGUCAAUGGCCGUAAGGCUGAACCAGCCAAGUAGCGUGAGGGAAGACUGCCCUAUGGGUUGUAAACCUCUUUUAUAAAGGAAUAAAGUGAGGCACGUGUGCCUUUUUGUAUGUACUUUAUGAAUAAGGCUCGGCUAACUCCGUGCCAGCAGCCGCGGUAAUCCGGAGGAUCCGAGCGUUAUCCGGAUUUAUUGGGUUUAAAGGGAGCGUAGGGGGACUGUUAAGUCAUCGGUAAAAGCCCGGGGCUCAACCCCGGCGAGCCGUUGAAACUGGCUUGCUUGAGAUGGCGAGAGGUAUGCGGAAUGCGCAGUGUAGCGGUGAAAUGCUUAGAUAUUGCGCAGAACUCCGAUUGCGAAGGCAGCAUACCGGCGGCGAUCUGACGCUGAGGCACGAAAGCGUGGGUAUCGAACAGGAUUAGAUACCCGAGUAGUC